UAGAAACAGUAAGGGUGAUCUGCGGGU
RNAcentral lists this non-coding RNA (27 nucleotides) under Bombyx mori (domestic silkworm). The record is from RNAcentral. Lineage: Eukaryota; Metazoa; Arthropoda; Insecta; Lepidoptera; Bombycidae.